AGAGAGAGACAUGCGCGCAUAUCAAUAAGCGGAGGAAAAGAAACUAACUAAGGAUUCCCUCAGUAACGGCGAGUGAAGCGGGAAGAGCUCAAAUUUGAAAUCUUCAAGGGUUCUACCUUUACGAAUUGUAGUUUAAAGAAGUGUUUUCUGUUGAGGUUUUGGUAAAAGUUCUUUGGAAUAGGACAUCAUAGAGGGUGAGAAUCCCGUAUUUGACCAUUACUUUCCAACUUUGUGAUACACUUUCAAAGAGUCGGAUUGUUUGGGAAUGCAGUCCAAAAUGGGUGGUAAAUUUCAUCUAAAGCUAAAUAUUGGCGAGAGACCGAUAGCGAACAAGUACCGUGAGGGAAAGAUGAAAAGAACUUUGAAAAGAGAGUUAAACAGUACGUGAAAUUGUCAAAAGGGAAGCGUUUGACACCAGUGUUGUUUUCUCGAAAAUCAAUUAAAAAAGGCAGGAUUUUGUGUUGUAUUGACUUUAUCAGCUUUCUGCACUCUUUUCUUGUCUUUUUUAAUGCACUUUUCGUUUAACAAGUCAACAUCAAUUUCUUUUGUUGUAAAAGGGUCAUUGGAAGGUGGCUUUCUUUUCGGAGAAAGUGUUUAUAGCCUUUGGCCUCUGCAAUCGGAGAGAUUGAGGUCUGCAGCGUAGAUCCUUCGGGGUUAGAUACAUUUGUGCUAAGUUAUAGCCUUUCAUAGACAACUUGUUGACUAUGAUCAGUCAUGUAGCUUACUCGCUUAUGCUAUUUUACCUACGCUUAGGAUGUUGAUGUGAUACUGCGAGCA
RNAcentral lists this ribosomal RNA (777 nucleotides) under uncultured Neocallimastigales. RNAcentral's name for it is "partial large subunit ribosomal RNA". It matches the Rfam family "Eukaryotic large subunit ribosomal RNA", at positions 23 to 639 of the family's 3401-position model. The record is from RNAcentral. Lineage: Eukaryota; Fungi; Neocallimastigomycota; Neocallimastigomycetes; Neocallimastigales.